AAGACCGGGAGGUUCACGUUAAUUCUUUUUUUACAAAUGCUUUCGGAUUUGGUGAAUGGCCGUGACAAAUAACAAAUCUUUCUAUAAAUGAAUCCAUCCUUAUAAAAGAAAGUUCUGUUGAAAAUACGAUUUAACGGAAAUCAGCGCUUGAAACAUUAAAUCAAAUUUUGGACAUUUGGGAUCCCUGCCCGUCUCGUUCUUUCAACCAACAUUUCGUCUGCAUCACAAUCUCAAAGAAGAAAUUUCCUUCCUCUUUUAGAUGGAGCCUAUAUUCCUUGCAGAUGCAGAUACUGAGUGCAGAAAAAGAUUCGUUUCAAAAGCUUCUACGUGUUCUUGCGAGUGAAUUCCCUGCCAUCAGUUUCUGUGCUAGAUUCGGAAUACAUUUUAUAACCUCUGAAUUCGGGAUGUUUUAAAAGUUUCCUUUUAAUUUAGUCAGUACUUCACUCUAUUCUUUACUGUUGCAUCAAAUGAAGCUAAAGAUACUAUAACAAUUUCUGUGUUAAUAAUCAACAGUGAAGCAGGAUAUUGAAAUAUAAAGAAAAAUACUAUGAUUGUGAAACGGUAUUAGAAAACAUUCAAUACAACUGAUAAUUUAAGAACUUACACAUGCGUAUUCAUAAGAGUAAAAAAUAUUAUGCUUGUGAAGUUUGUCGUACAAAGUUCUUGCAAAAAUAAAUAAAUGAAAUAAAAUAAAAACUUUGUCACAUAAAAAAUGGCAUUUUCCUGUGAUGUCUGUCAUAAACAGUUCAGUGAAAAAGAUAAUUUAAACAUUCAUUUACUUGUCCAUACUAAUGAAAAGACUUUUAUUUGUGAAAUCUGCGGUAAAUCUUUCACUCAAAAUGUCAGUUUAAAAAGACAUUUACGAAUUCAUUCGGGAGAAAAACCUUAUAAUUGUGAAACCUGUGGGAAAACGUUCACUCUAAAAUGUAAUUUAACUGUCCAUUUACGAAUUCAUUCGGGAGAAAAACCUUAUAAUUGUGAAAUCUGCGAGAAAUCGUUCACUCAUAGUGGCCAUUUAAAACGGCAUUUAUUAAUUCAUGCGAAAGAAAAGCCUUUUUCUUGUGAAACCUGUGGAAAAGCGUUUCAUCGAAAAUGUUAUUUAAGUGUCCAUUCGCGUCUUCAUUCUGGAGAAAAACCUUUUGAUUGUAUAAUCUGCAAUAAAAUGUUCGCUUCCAAACGGAGUUUAAAAACACAUUUGCUUAUACAUAAGAAAGAGAAGCCUUUUUCUUGUGAAAUUUGCAGCAAAACGUUUGGUCGAAAAAAUCAUUUAAAUAGACAUUUACGAAUUCAUUCGAAAGAAAAACCUUACGAAUGUGAAAUCUGUUUUAAAACAUUUAAUAAAAGUGACAAUUUAAAACAACAUUUACCAACUCAUAAAGAAAUAGAACCUUUUACUUGUGAAAUCUGUGGGAAAGCAUUUUAUGAAAAAUGUCAUUUAAUUGACCAUUCACGACUUCAUUUUGAAGAAAAACCUUUUGAUUGUAAAAUCUGCGGUAAAAUGUUCCCUUUCAAAUGGAGUUUAAAAAUACAUUUGCGUAUACAUACGAAAGAGAAGCCUUUUUCUUGUGAAAUUUGCGGUAACGCGUUUGGUCGAAAAAGUCAUUUAAAUAGACAUUUACGAGUUCAUUCGAAAGAAAAACCUUCCGAUUGUGAAAUAAUCUGAGGUAAGGUAUUUACAGAAAGUGACACAUUAAAAUACAUUUACAUAUUCAUAGGGAAGAAAAUCCAUAUAUUUUGAAAUCUGUAGCAAGACUCUUAUCAUGAGAAACCAUUUAAAAAGGCAUUUACAUAUCCAUACGAAAGAAAUGGUUGUGAAAUCUUUGAUAAAGUGCUCAUUGACAGUGACAAUUUAAAAAAUCAAUUAUAUUUUCAUGGAAAAGAAAAUUCUUUUGAUUAUGAAAUAUGAAUGAAAAUAUUCAAGAGGGCAGAAAUCUUGUCUGUAACUUCAAUAAUUAUUUAAAGUAAGAGGAGUCUCCUGAAUGUGUUAUAUCUGUGAAAAUGCAUUUGCAAACUUCUGCAAGACCAGUUCAAUAUUGUUACGGAACUUCCUCCACUAAGUCCGUAAUGUCAACAGGUUCACCUGCUGUGGGUGUAUGGUGUAACACAAUCAGCAGGCCUCAAUAGAAAAUAACGACGUUUAUUAACACGAAAGCACGGAUACACAGACGGCAAAAAACAGCUAAGACGUACGCAAGCAAUAUACAGCAGCAUACUUAGAACAAACAGCAGCCAACAAGUAGUAAACAACAGCCACACCACACAAAGAGACCAGAAAGAACUCAGCAGGAGGAGGGAAUAUACGUAUCUAUUCUCUAUGGUCUCUCCAAACGCCUGCGAUUCUCCACUGUCUCCUCGCUUUAGCUGUAUCCAACUGCCGAUUCACUACUACACGACUGGAUACUACUCACACGAUUCGAUGCUACUUCUGUAAUAAACCCCAGAAUUCGACACACAGCUCAAUUUACUAAUCGCUUGAGCUCCACUCAACGCUUGGGCUUCGCUGGAUUGAUCCAAUUAAUUCGUUGUUGACUUGCUAUUCGACUCUGUAUCAAAUACACGACUGUCUUCUGCUUGAACUGUCGGCCUUUUAUAGUUUCCGGAGCAGGCAGAGAAGUUUCUCGAACUAUCAAGCAUAUAUCAACUCCUAUUGGUUCUAUCGCCAAAAUGAUUUCUUGCAUUUGUAUGGAAGAUAAAUCUGGAAAGGGAGGAUCUGCUUUCGUCACCAAAAAAGAGGAAGGAGUCGGCGAAGAUGCUAACGAAGAAAAUCGAUGGCCCGAUCUAUGCCCGAACUGAUCUUUCGAAGGAUCAGAGUGGAAGAGCAUGUCUGAGAACUCAUCAGGAGAUGAGGAUAUACUAAAGAAUGAAGUGUCAUUGACCCAGCCCUUUGUUGUAAGGGAAAUAGAGCCGAAUCAGCCACCAGGCGCUGCCUCCAAGACGAGUGACCCCCACAUCUUUGGAAAUAACGCGUGAGUACAUAGCGAAGAGCCACCUGGAUAUUAUACAAGUUAUCACGCUGAAGACUACUAUAGCCAGCUGGGCCCAGGCUCUUUACUGCCACCAAGAAAGUUCAGGGGAGCACACGCAGAUUCGUAAGGAAUAUCUCGCAGGAAGAGGGUCCAUAGAGGGGGACGAAGGGACUUUCUAACCUACCCUGCAAAUAAUGGAAAAGCUUGAAAGUUCAUGGGAUAUGAUUGGUAAUCUGUGUGUCGAAGCAGGACAUCUUCCCAAUGGCUUAGUAGUUCUUAGUAGAGCAUUUACCGCAGCUCUGAAAUACAAAGUGCUUCAGAUGAAGCAAGCUGCCAGAACUAAAAUGAACACUGCUAUGAAGUGUGCUCUCCUCACUCGACUGUAUGCUGCUUCUAUAAUAAACUCCAAGAUUCGGCACGCUGCUUAAUUCACCAAUCGCUUGAGCUCCACUCAACGCUCGCGUUUCACUGGAUUGAUCCAACUGAUUUGCCGUUGACUCGCUAUGCAACUCUAAACCUCUCGACGACUGUUUUCACGCUGUAUACACGACUGUUUUCGGGUAGGACUACAGGCAUUUUACAUUUCCCAGAUCAGGGCAGAGAAGGUUCUGGAACAAUCAAGCAUAUCUCAGUUUCUAUUGACUCUAUCGCCAAAAUUCUGUAAGAUUCUAGUAUCUUCCGGUUUGUCGCCAAAGUUCCCAAAUUCGUCGCCAGAUGUCGCCAAACCCUGGGAUUACCGAUUCAGCAUCCGGUCUGCAUCCAUAACAGAGCUGAUCGUAAAACGGUCUUUUCAGUGACUCAACUAGUCGUGCUGGGAAGCAACAAUACAGAUUUGUAAAGUACAAACGGUCUUUCUGUCAGCAACAAGGCCUAUUUUUGACCUAUUGUAACCUAAGCCAACCUAAUACGGGCAUGUACAGUUUAACUAAUCUAAAGACAAGACCGUUUCUGCAGAUAAGCAGAUAUUGGGUUCUGAAAACCAGAUUGUAAUUUUCUCUGAUAUACAUAAUAUGGUUAUUAAGAUUUAAUUUUUUAUCUAAAACCAUCUAUAAGUAUUUUAUACCAUUUUCCCCGUCAAUGUCAUGUAUCUGGAUUUUUGACCAGUUGUUAUUUCUUUGUGCAGAGAAGAAUUUUUUCAAUUUUCUCCACAUCAAGUUUGAUCUCUCAUCGUUUAAGCCAGUUUUCCAAUAAAAUUGUGCAGUGGAAGAUUGGCUCUGUUAGGAGAAUUAUCAUGGGACAUAAUUGCCAUGAAUAAGUAUCUCCAUACCUGCUAAAUCUGCAAAAUAUACACUCUUUUAAUUAGCUUUAAUUUAAAUAGCUUAAAGUUUUAACUGUAAGAUAUGCAAUAAGCAUUUUAUGACAUUCUUAAAAGAAAAUCUGGGGAAAAUAGUUAAUUUGCAAAAUAUAACACUCGUCUUUGGUUAUUAUGAAAAAUAGAUUUCAAUUAUUUAUUUUCAUAGAGAGCUACUCGAAAUAAGUCACUAAAUAAUUUGUAUUGACCUUUUUUUUUAUUUCAUCAAUAUCAUGAUAUUUUCUUAAAAGAAAUAAGCGAAGUUAAAGAACUCAUCUAUUAAUAUUUUCAAAGAAAAAUGGUAGGGUGCACUUUUAAAUCUUGGAAUGGCAUAUUUUUUUUAAAUUUUUAUCCAAAAUUGCAAACUGGGUCAUAUAUGCCCAUUAUUACCUUAAUGGUAUAACUUUUUGAUGUCUAAGACAAGUUGUGUAGCUCUCUAAGUACAAUAUAUGUAUCAGUACA
This is an RNA transcript of Argiope bruennichi, 4719 nucleotides long. It is a transcript of the gene named gastrula zinc finger protein XlCGF57.1-like, with no coding region annotated. NCBI's taxonomy places the organism in Eukaryota, Metazoa, Arthropoda, Arachnida, Araneae, Araneidae. The record is from RefSeq and is a predicted model, not a curated record. The transcript has 5 exons.